CAUGAAGGAUGCCCAAGAAGGCUCCACCAAACAUCGUCUGGUGAACAGAAUUUCAAUCCGCAAUUGGACGAGCAAUUCAUCAACAACGACCAUUCGGUUCGUCCAUUUCCAGUCUUCCGCCCAGCCGAGAGCCUUUUUUCACCAAAUACUCUUGGAUUCUUGAAGAUAUCGUGGCCAUAAACCAACCCCUGCCAGCCAACUGGCAGGAGAAACACGACCAGAUGCUGUUUCAGCGCGAUAUACUCGAAGUAAGACGAAAACAAUUAAAGCUCCAGCCUUUUUGGAGCAUUACUCGGUCGUCCAGCUGACUCAUAAAACGGCCAAGAAGAAGAGGAAAUUGAGCAGCGAUCUCCGCCCGUGUUGGAAACUUCGCGAAGCCGUCGGCAGUGCUGACGAGGACAGUGACGGAAUUAGUGACGAAACGGGCGACUUUUCGCUUUUCUGACGGAUCAAGCCACCGAUCGUGUUUCCCCGUGCCGUUUCCGGAGUACGUGUUUCAUGUGGAAGAAGCUGAAGUACAUCAAGAACUAUUGAAUUGUAGUUUGCCCGUGUCUCUGUGGAUUAACAUUUUUCAACUGCCGUUGAAGAUUUGAAGUUGGUCCGUGUCGUUGGUCCUAAAUAAG
Daphnia pulicaria is the source of this 623-nucleotide long non-coding RNA. RefSeq lists it as uncharacterized. The transcript has 3 exons. NCBI's taxonomy places the organism in Eukaryota, Metazoa, Arthropoda, Branchiopoda, Diplostraca, Daphniidae. The record is from RefSeq and is a predicted model, not a curated record.